UAGUCCAAGCUAUGCCUAUAUGCAUACCGGUAAUCAACUACGACGACGAUUAGCUUUCUUCCGUUUCCACCAUUUCCCUGCACACUGUUCCAUUCUACUUAGCCUACAGACGCUAGGUUGUUUCGGGAAAAAGGACAGUUUCAAUAUUGGAUGUAUAUGGAAAAGAUCAUGUAACAAAAGAAAUUAUAAAAGUAAAAAAAUGGAAGAAGAAAUGGCUGGAAAAAAUGAUGAUAGAGCAGCUUUUUCUUGUUAGCCACCUCGGAAGAUCAAGACAGCUGGAAAGGGCUAUUGAUAUUGUGGAAGUGUUUUCUUACAGAGGUUGCUUAUCAGACAAAGGCUAUUUAACUACAUCAGAAAGAUAAAAACAGUUGGAAAUGGCUAUUCAUAUUGUGGAAACUUUUCUCACAGAGCUUGAUAAUCAGGCAAAAUGCUGGAACACCCUUGAAAGAGUAUUUGGUGUAUGAUAACAACAAGAGAACCCAAGCAUCAAUUUAUUUUAUACUUCUGGGAAAGAAUGCAUUUGACCCAAUUUUUAAAUAUUUAUUUUUUGUUAUUAAUGUUAAAUUUUCUUCCAAAACACAAUUAGAUUUUAAUUCUCUUCAAAUAUGUAUGUAUAAUAUAGCAAGUAAACUGACAUAUAAAUCACUUAGAAUUUGGUCGGAAAUCAUAAAGUAUUUAAUAGGCAUUACUAGAAACCAAAUGUAGAUCAAAUACACCCAGAAUUACAAAAAACCUUGACCUACAUUAAGGUGACUUUCCCUUGCUUAUGAAAUGAAAUACGUUUUAAUAUCCUGCUUUUCUGUGUUCUUAGAGUGAUUCUACCCUACCCUUAUAUCAAAUAUUUCAACUGUCAAGGGUUCUUUAAAGGGUACCCAGGGGGGCCGAAUGGUUAACACGCACACAUUUGAUCAGAAGGUCUGUCAUUGAUUCAAAUAAUUCAAUUUUCAAGGGUUCUUCAAAGUGUACGCAGUUGGGUUGGUUUCAAUUCUGGGGGGUGGGGGUGGAUGGCCGAAUGGUUAGCACGUGCAUGCUGUAUCAUACGGCCUCCUGUCAUUGAGUCAACUGGCAUGGUUCGAAUCCCUGGUUGUAGACAAGGAGUGGGGUCGCCUGUCCAAUCUUGUGGGUUUUCUCCGGGACCUCCGGUUUCCUCCCACUGCUAAAGACCCCUACGCGCUAGCGAAUUAUUGAAAUAAAAUUAAACCAUAUGUUAGUCCCAAAAUGAUCUAGUUUGUGUCGAGUAGACGUUAAACCCCAUUUCUCUCUGUCUCUCUCUCUUUUGAUUCUGGGCUUGUACCCAAUUAUCCCUUGCCAUAUCCAACACUGAAAAGUGGGAACUAUGCCGGAAAAUCCAGUUGAAAUUUCGCAGGCCAACGCCUUAUGCUCACUGAACCACUGUGGCUUAUGACUUGUGAUUGUAUAUAAAUCUUUUGUACAUAUGAUAUUUUUUUAUUUCAAUCCUGUAAUCUUGAUGCUUUGCUUCUUUUAUUUAUAAAAUAUUCAUUUUGUUUGGGGUUUUUUUAAUGAGGAAAAGGCUCCUACAUCAUUUUAUUACUCCUGCAAAAUAGAGCAAUUUUCUUUUGUUAGUUUUCUGUGUAUGCUAGUUAUUUCUAGAUGCCUCACAAAUCACUUGUAGUGUGAUUUUGUAGCAUUUUUCAGUUUUUGAAAUUGUUUCAAUUUAGUGCAUAAUUAAUCUUAUUAGUGCUUAGUUUGGAUGUUAUUAAAUUUAGAUAUAUUUGAAUUAUAUAUUUUGGGGUAUGGGGUAGGGAUCUUGUGUACAUAUCUUUAUAUUCUCAGUUCUUGUUUUGGGGUAAAGAACAAUUUAAAUAGCUAUUUUAUAUUUUGUGAUGGGUAAAGUGUGUGGGGCAAAAAACAAUUUAAAUAGCUAUUUUAUAUUUUGUGAUGGGUAAA
Long non-coding RNA from Patella vulgata (common limpet), 1908 nucleotides. RefSeq lists it as uncharacterized. NCBI's taxonomy places the organism in Eukaryota, Metazoa, Mollusca, Gastropoda, Patellidae. The transcript is spliced from 5 exons. The record is from RefSeq and is a predicted model, not a curated record.